Molecule: unclassified non-coding RNA, 336 nt
Filed under: soil metagenome
Description: partial contains 5.8S ribosomal RNA, internal transcribed spacer 2, and large subunit ribosomal RNA
Rfam family: 5.8S ribosomal RNA (bases 1-120)
Source: RNAcentral
GAUGAAGAACGCAGCGAAAUGCGAUAAGUAAUGUGAAUUGCAGAAUUCAGUGAAUCAUCGAAUCUUUGAACGCACAUUGCGCCCGCCAGUAUUCUGGCGGGCAUGCCUGUUCGAGCGUCAUUUCAACCAUCAAGCCCCCGGCUUGUGUUGGGGACCUGCGGCUGCCGCAGGCCCUGAAAACCAGUGGCGGGCUCGCUGUCACACCGAGCGUAGUAGAUUUUCAUCUCGCUCAGGGCGUGCUGCGGGUUCCGGCCGUAAAAAGCCUUAUUUACCCAAGGUUGACCUCGGAUCAGGUAGGAAGACCCGCUGAACUUAAGCAUAACAAUAAGCGGAGGA